AGCAGCCGCGGUAAUACGAAGGGGGCUAGCGUUGUUCGGAAUUACUGGGCGUAAAGCGCACGUAGGCGGACUUUUAAGUCAGAUGUGAAAUCCCGAGGCUCAACCUCGGAACUGCAUUUGAAACUGGGAGUCUAGAGAUCAGGAGAGGUUAGCGGAAUACCGAGUGUAGAGGUGAAAUUCGUAGAUAUUCGGUGGAACACCAGUGGCGAAGGCGGCUAACUGGACUGAUACUGACGCUGAGGUGCGAAAGUGUGGGGAGCAAACAGGAUUAGAUACCCUGGUAGUCCACACCGUAAACGAUGAGUGCUAGUUGUCUGCAGGCAUGCCUGUAGGUGACGCAGCUAACGCAUUAAGCACUCCGCCUGGGGAGUACGGCCGCAAGGUUAAAACUCAAAGAAAUUGACGGGG
This 408-nucleotide ribosomal RNA is filed under the name uncultured bacterium. RNAcentral's name for it is "bacterial SSU rRNA". It matches the Rfam family "Bacterial small subunit ribosomal RNA", at positions 510 to 918 of the family's 1533-position model. The record is from RNAcentral.